AUUGAACGCUGGCGGCAGGCCUAACACAUGCAAGUCGAACGGUAGCACAGAGAGCUUGCUCUCGGGUGACGAGUGGCGGACGGGUGAGUAACGUCUGGGAAACUGCCCGAUGGAGGGGGAUAACUACUGGAAACGGUAGCUAAUACCGCAUAACGUCGCAAGACCAAAGUGGGGGACCUUCGGGCCUCACACCAUCGGAUGUGCCCAGAUGGGAUUAGCUAGUAGGUGGGGUAAUGGCUCACCUAGGCGACGAUCCCUAGCUGGUCUGAGAGGAUGACCAGCCACACUGGAACUGAGACACGGUCCAGACUCCUACGGGAGGCAGCAGUGGGGAAUAUUGCACAAUGGGCGCAAGCCUGAUGCAGCCAUGCCGCGUGUAUGAAGAGGGCCUUCGGGUUGUAAAGUACUUUCAGCGGGGAGGAAGGCGGUGAAGUUAAUAGCUUCACCGAUUGACGUUACCCGCAGAAGAAGCACCGGCUAACUCCGUGCCAGCCGCCGCGGUAA
This 504-nucleotide ribosomal RNA is filed under the name uncultured bacterium. RNAcentral describes it as "partial 16S ribosomal RNA". It matches the Rfam family "Bacterial small subunit ribosomal RNA", at positions 29 to 523 of the family's 1533-position model. The record is from RNAcentral.